UACGGGGGGGGUAAGCGUUGUUCGGAAUUACUGGGCGUAAAGGGCUCGUAGGCGGCCAACUAAGUCAUACGUGAAAUCCCUCAGCUUAACUGGGGAACUGCGUGUGAUACUGGAUGGCUUGGAUUUGGGAGAGGGAUGCGGAAUUCCAGGUGUAGCGGUGAAAUGCGUAGAUAUCUGGAGGAACACCGGUGGCGAAGGCGGCAUCCUGGACCGACAUUGACGCUGAGGCGCGAAAGCGUGGGGAGCAAACAGG
Molecule: ribosomal RNA, 253 nt
Filed under: uncultured bacterium
Lineage: Bacteria
Description: partial 16S ribosomal RNA
Rfam family: Bacterial small subunit ribosomal RNA
Source: RNAcentral